UUGAAGGUCAAACCAAGUAUCAGGUGUGAAUCUUUUCAUGUCAAUUUAGAUUUUAGGGUGGGAAAGAAAACUCUGUUAUGUCCAUUAUAUCUCUCUUUCCCAUUUCAUUUCCUUCUGGAUUAUUGUUUUUCUUUUUCUUUGUUUGGUCUUUUUCAAACCUUUUCUCUCAAGGAAACUUAGUUGGGGGGGUGGGGUGGUGGGCUACUUUCUCAAGAAA
Molecule: unclassified non-coding RNA, 217 nt
Filed under: Hevea brasiliensis (rubber tree)
Lineage: Eukaryota; Viridiplantae; Streptophyta; Magnoliopsida; Malpighiales; Euphorbiaceae
Source: RNAcentral